This 79-nucleotide small RNA is filed under the name Hoeflea phototrophica DFL-43. RNAcentral describes it as "suhB". Lineage: Bacteria; Pseudomonadati; Pseudomonadota; Alphaproteobacteria; Hyphomicrobiales; Rhizobiaceae. The record is from RNAcentral.
CUCUGCCGCCGAAUAAGAGCAUUCGCUCCUGCUUUAUUGUAGACCGCUCUUUCGGGGGCGGUCUUUUUUUGUGCACUUG